RNAcentral lists this ribosomal RNA (432 nucleotides) under uncultured bacterium. Its description in RNAcentral is "partial 16S ribosomal RNA". It matches the Rfam family "Bacterial small subunit ribosomal RNA", at positions 29 to 507 of the family's 1533-position model. The record is from RNAcentral.
AACGAACGCUGGCGGCAUGCCUAACACAUGCAAGUCGAACGAGCCUUCGGGUCUAGUGGCGCACGGGUGCGUAACGCGUGGGAACCUGCCCUUAGGUUCGGAAUAACUCCCCGAAAGGGGUGCUAAUACCGGAUAAUGUCUUCGGACCAAAGAUUUAUCGCCUUUGGAUGGGCCCGCGUUGGAUUAGCUAGUUGGUAGGGUAAAAGCCUACCAAGGCGACGAUCCAUAGCUGGUCUGAGAGGAUGAUCAGCCACACUGGGACUGAGACACGGCCCAGACUCCUACGGGAGGCAGCAGUGGGGAAUAUUGGACAAUGGGCGAAAGCCUGAUCCAGCAAUGCCGCGUGAGUGAUGAAGGCCUUAGGGUUGUAAAGCUCUUUUACCCGGGAUGAUAAUGACAGUACCGGGAGAAUAAGCUCCGGCUAACUCCGUG